GACGAACGCUGGCGGCGUGCUUAACACAUGCAAGUCGAACGGAAAGGCCCUGCUUUUGUGGGGUGCUCGAGUGGCGAACGGGUGAGUAACACGUGAGUAACCUGCCCUUGACUUUGGGAUAACUUCAGGAAACUGGGGCUAAUACCGGAUAGGAGCUCCUGCUGCAUGGUGGGGGUUGGAAAGUUUCGGCGGUUGGGGAUGGACUCGCGGCUUAUCAGCUUGUUGGUGGGGUAGUGGCUUACCAAGGCUUUGACGGGUAGCCGGCCUGAGAGGGUGACCGGGCAGAGGGGGAAGAGGAGACGGCGCAGGCGGCGACGGGAGGGAGGAGGGGGGAAGAGGGAACACGGGGGGAGGGGCUGAUGAAGCAUCGCCGCGUGAGGGAAGAAGGAGUUCGGGUUGUAAAAAGAUUUGGCCGGUGAAGAAGCGGGAGUGACGGGGAUGGAUAAAGAAGGAAAGGCUAACUACGGG
RNAcentral lists this ribosomal RNA (468 nucleotides) under uncultured bacterium. RNAcentral's name for it is "partial 16S ribosomal RNA". It matches the Rfam family "Bacterial small subunit ribosomal RNA", at positions 28 to 507 of the family's 1533-position model. The record is from RNAcentral.